Molecule: ribosomal RNA, 511 nt
Filed under: uncultured Holophagae bacterium
Lineage: Bacteria; Pseudomonadati; Acidobacteriota; Holophagae
Description: bacterial SSU rRNA
Rfam family: Bacterial small subunit ribosomal RNA
Source: RNAcentral
UGCGCCUUGCCAGCCCGCUCAGAAACUCAAAGGAAUUGACGGGGGCCCGCACAAGCGGUGGAGCAUGUGGUUCAAUUCGAUGCAACGCGAAGAACCUUACCUGGGCUUGAACCGCACCUGUAAACCUGUGGAAACACGGGUCCCUCCUUCGGGAGCAGGUGUAGAGGUGCUGCAUGGCUGUCGUCAGCUCGUGUCGUGAGAUGUUGGGUUAAGUCCCGCAACGAGCGCAACUCCUGCCCUUAGUUGCCAUCGGGUCACGCCGGGAACUCUAAGGGGACCGCCCCGGACAACGGGGAGGAAGGUGGGGAUGACGUCAAGUCAGCAUGGCCUUUAUGUCCAGGGCUACACACGUGCUACAAUGGUUGGUACAAAGGGUUGCCAAGCCGUGAGGCGGAGCCAACCUCAAAAAGCCAACCUCAGUUCGGAUUGCAGUCUGCAACUCGACUGCAUGAAGUUGGAAUCGCUAGUAAUCGCUGAUCAGCAGGCAGCGGUGAAUACGUUCCCGGGCCUU